CGGGCCGUGUACUCCCAGAUCGCGUCCGCGUCGAGCAGCGCCUGCUCGCCGAGGUAGGCCCCGUCGGCGAGGACACCCAGGGACUCGUCCUCCCCGUACGGACCCGUGCCGAUCUUCUCCACCCUGCCGUGCGCCAGCAGGUACACCUCGUCGGUCUGGCUGCCGAACGAAGCGAUCACGUUCCCCGCCGCGAACUCCCGCUGCUGGCAGCGCUGGGCGAGCUCGGAGAGCACCUCUUCGUCCUCGUACGACCGCAGCGCGGGCAGUUCGGUCAGCUCGGCGGGGAUCACCUCGACCCGGUCGCCGGUCUUCACGAACGUGAUACGGCCGUCCCCCACGGCGUAGGUCAGACGCCGGUUCACCCGGUACGUGCCGCCCUGCACAUUCACCCAUGGCAGCAUGCGCAGCAGCCAGCGAGAGCUGAUCUCCUGCAUCUGGGGUGCGGACUUGGUCGUGGUGGCCAGGUUCCGCGCGGCCGCCGUGCCGAGACUCUGCUGCGGCUUGU
Molecule: non-coding RNA, 505 nt
Organism: Streptomyces regalis
Lineage: Bacteria; Bacillati; Actinomycetota; Actinomycetes; Kitasatosporales; Streptomycetaceae
Rfam family: Saccharopolyspora sRNA 350
Source: Rfam